UACGGAGGAUCCAAGCGUUAUCCGGAUUUAUUGGGUUUAAAGGGUGCGUAGGCGGAUUGAUAAGUUAGAGGUGAAAUGUCCGAGCUCAACUCGGGAACUGCCUCUUAUACUGUUGAUCUAGAGAGUAGAUGCGGUAGGCGGAAUGUAUGGUGUAGCGGUGAAAUGCUUAGAGAUCAUACAGAACACCGAUUGCGAAGGCAGCUUACCAAUCUAUAUCUGACGUUGAGGCACGAAAGCGUGGGGAGCAAACAGG
Molecule: ribosomal RNA, 253 nt
Filed under: uncultured bacterium
Lineage: Bacteria
Description: partial 16S ribosomal RNA
Rfam family: Bacterial small subunit ribosomal RNA
Source: RNAcentral